AAAUACUGCAUUACAGCAUUACUACUCUAGCAGUCCAGCCCAAUAGGCGGCCCAACCGACUCCAAUACUUCAAUUCCAAAGUAAAAUUAGGGUUUUUACACUUUCAGUUUUCACAUUCAACAUUUCAACUUCCUCAAAACAAAGAGAGAGAAAGAGAGACCCUAAGCGAGUAACACUAAGCGUCGCUCUCCAAUCUCCACCUUCAGCGAUUUCAUCCAUCUUGUUUGGCCAUGGAGGAACACAUGUCGACCUCUUCAACUGGAAGCCCCUCACUGCCAAUUUGGAAAUAGUCAAAGAGGAAAUUUCUACUCUUCUUAGAUCAGUUGGUACUUGGUAGUUGGUACACUGCUGACUGCUCAUAUGAUAUUCUGUCAAUUCUGAUGUAGUGAUGUAUGAACCAUAGAUUUACAUAGGUGGUUUUUACAGUAUUAAAUAUUUACAGGUGGUUUUUUUUUCAUUUAACUAAAUAUUUACAGUAUUAAAUAUGUACAAAUUAAUGUGACUAUUA
Long non-coding RNA from Spinacia oleracea (spinach), 508 nucleotides. RefSeq lists it as uncharacterized. The transcript has 2 exons. The record is from RefSeq and is a predicted model, not a curated record. NCBI's taxonomy places the organism in Eukaryota, Viridiplantae, Streptophyta, Magnoliopsida, Caryophyllales, Amaranthaceae.